GGAGGUAGUGACAAUAAAUCACAAUGCGGGACUGUUAGUCUUGCAAUUGGAUUGAGAACAACGUACAACUCUUAUCGAUAAGCCAUUGGAGGGCAAGUCUGGUGCCAGCAGCCGCGGUAAUUCCAGCUCCAAUAGCGUAUAUUAACGUUGUUGCAGUUAAAAAGCUCGUAGUUGAAGUGAGGGAGUGUGUAGUAGGACCGACUUGAUCGGAACUGCUGCAACCUCCCCCCUCCAAUCGGUGUAGUGGGGUAUUCACUUAUUCUACUACUCCUUUGGUCGUUUACUGUGAGAAAAUUAGAGUGUUCAAAGCGGGCGUUUGUUUGAAUAGAUUAGCAUGGAAUAAUGAUUGAAGGCUUUCGUGUUCGAUUUGAUUGGUUUGUUCAUGGAAGCAAGGUUAAAAGGAACAGUUGGGGGUAUUCAUAUUCACUAGUUAGAGGUGAAAUUCUCGGAUUUAUGGAAGAUGAACAAGUGCGAAAGCA
RNAcentral lists this ribosomal RNA (479 nucleotides) under Blastocystis sp. Its description in RNAcentral is "SSU rRNA". It matches the Rfam family "Eukaryotic small subunit ribosomal RNA", at positions 460 to 953 of the family's 1831-position model. The record is from RNAcentral. Lineage: Eukaryota; Bigyra; Opalinata; Blastocystidae.